AUUGAACGCUGGCGGCAUGCUUUACACAUGCAAGUCGAACGGUAACAGGUUAAGCUGACGAGUGGCGAACGGGUGAGUAAUGCAUCGGAACGUGCCCGAUCGUGGGGGAUAACGCAGCGAAAGCUGCGCUAAUACCGCAUACGAUCUGAGGAUGAAAGCGGGGGACCGUAAGGCCUCGCGCGAUCGGAGCGGCCGAUGUCAGAUUAGGUAGUUGGUGGGGUAAAGGCCCACCAAGCCGACGAUCUGUAGCUGGUCUGAGAGGACGACCAGCCACACUGGGACUGUGACACGGCCCAGACUCCUACGGGAGGCAGCAGUGGGGAAUUUUGGACAAUGGGGGCAACCCUGAUCCAGCAAUGCCGCGUGAGUGAAGAAGGCCUUCGGGUUGUAAAGCUCUUUUGUCAGGGAAGAAACACCGGCUCUAACACAGUCCGGGAAUGACGGUACCUGAAGAAUAAGCACCGGCUAACUACGUGCCAGCCGCCGCAGUAA
This 492-nucleotide ribosomal RNA is filed under the name uncultured bacterium. Its description in RNAcentral is "partial 16S ribosomal RNA". It matches the Rfam family "Bacterial small subunit ribosomal RNA", at positions 29 to 523 of the family's 1533-position model. The record is from RNAcentral.